RNAcentral lists this long non-coding RNA (27413 nucleotides) under Lactuca sativa (garden lettuce). RNAcentral's name for it is "long non-coding RNA (LSAT_LNC001664)". The record is from RNAcentral. Lineage: Eukaryota; Viridiplantae; Streptophyta; Magnoliopsida; Asterales; Asteraceae.
GAGAGUUGGGUCUCUGAAUGAUGUUGAAAGGAGGGAGUUUCUUGGUUCAAAUGCUAUUAUAGAUGACAAGAGUCGAUGGAAAGAAGAAAAGCUUGAACCUUUGUGGGAUGAUGGAUAUGGAACUCAGAGUGUGAAAGAUUACCUUGAUUUAGCCAAAGACUUCAUUAAACCCGAUGGUGGACCUCCCAGAUGGUUUUGCCCUGUUGUUGCAGAUGGGAAUGAAACUCCUUUACCCAAUUCACCUGUUCUUCUGUUUUUACCAGGUAAUUUCUUGUUUCUCUUCAGAAGAUUCAGUAUGUAUACACAUAUACAUAUAGUUUUCUAUUAAUGUGUUUGAACUUGGUGAUGUAUGUAGGGAUGGAUGGGCUUGGUUUAGGUCUCAUUUUGCACCACAAAUCUCUUAAAAAGUGAGUGAAAUCUUUUGCUAUUGUUGACAUGUUACCUAAUCAUCAUAUAAGACAUAUUUCACCUUAUUAUAAAGAUCUAUUCUUAUAAUCUUAUUACAGGGUGUUUGAAGUUCGAUGCUUACACAUCCCAGUUCAAGAUCGAACGCCAUUUGAAGGUCUUAUGUUAAUCAAAUAACUUAUUCACCUCCCUACAUUUAAAUGGUUCAUAAAUUAAAUCAUUUUUACUUUGUAUAUGAAGAUUUGGUGACAUUUGUGGAGGAAACCUUGAAGUUUGAGCAUGCUUUAUUUCCAAAUAGGCCGAUAUAUCUUGUUGGAGAUUCUUUUGGAGGCUGUUUAGCUCUUGCAGUUGCUGCACGUAAUCCAGCUAUAGAUCUUGUAGUUAUACUCUCAAAUCCAGGUCAGUUUUUUCUAAAAAAAUUAACUAUCAUCCAUAAUUUUUUAUUUUUUUUUAAAACAACUUAUUUAAAUUAUCUAUUUCAGCAACUUCAUUUGACAGGUCACAACUGCAGCCUUUGUUUCCUGCUUUAGAGGUCAUGCCUGAUACACUUCAUGUCACAAUCCCUUAUCUUCUUAGCUUUGUUAUGGGUAUGUACAUCAUACAUCAUACAUCAUACAUCAUCUGUUUCUUUUAGAUGCUAUGGUUAAUAACUAUGGUUAAUUAUCUAACAUUGUUAAAUCUUGUUAUCGUAUCAGGUGAUCCUUUAAAGAUGGCAAUGGUGACUGCUGAAACCUCACUUACUCCAAAUGUUGGGAAAGUAGCUGACAAUCUUACUGCUUUGCUUCCUCGCCUUUCGGUAGGGAUUAUCUAAAUGACCAUUUUACCCUUGCAAUCACCAAACAGCUUUUGUAAUGUUCAUCCGUUUUAUAUUUGAUUCCAGGGGUUGUCUGAUAUUAUUCCAAGAUCAACACUUUUAUGGAAGCUGAAAUUACUGAAAUCUGCUGCUGCAUACACUAAUUCUCGGCUUCAUGCUGUUAAAGCUGAAGUUCUAGUUCUUGCAAGGUUAGUUUCAUUUGGGAUUUAUUUAUUUAUUUAUUUUUUAAAUACAAACUUAUAAUCUAAUUUACAUAAAGAAGCAUAAAUUAUAUACUUGUGUUUUAGUGGAAAAGAUAACAUGCUUCCAAGUAGCAAUGAAGCUCAAAGGCUUUCAAAAACGUUGCAAAACUGCAAGAUAUGUUACUUUAAGGACAAUGGCCACACUCUUUUACUGGUACUUAAUAAUUUUCUAUUUUUCUUUUAUUCUUUAUGAUUUUCUUUUAUGAUUUUCUUUUAUAUAACUAAUCAAAUCCAAAUUUCUUGUUCUUUCAGGAAGAUGGUAUGAAUUUGUUAACAAUAAUCAAAGGAAGAUUAAAAUACCGAAGAACAUGGAAACAUGACUUUGUAAAAGACUUCAUACCCCCUAGCAUGUUAGAGUACAAAAGUGCCCUUGGAGGAAACGGGUAAUAUUUCUUUUAUUAUUUAUAGUUUAUACACGAAUGAAAAAGUUUUUAAUUGCAUGAUAAUAUAAAAAAAAUCAGGUGGUUUCAAAUUGCUACAAGUCCAGUGAUGUUUUCAACUUUAGAAGAUGGAAGAAUAGUGAGGGGACUUAGUGGGAUUCCAGAUGAAGGUCCUGUUUUGUUAGUUGGUUAUCAUAUGCUGAUGGGAUUAGAACUUGCUCCAAUUAUUUUAGAGUUUUUAAGGGAAAAAAAAGUUAUGGUUCGUGGUGUGGCCCACCCUGAGCUUUUUAAAAUGAAUUCUACAAAUGAGCUUCCGGAAUUUUCUUAUGUUGAUUUGAUGAAAGUUUUUGGUGCUUUACCUGUUACUCCAACCAAUCUCUUCAAAUUGUUUUCCUCAAAAUCAUUUGCAUUGCUCUACCCUGGUGGUGCACGUGAGGCUCUUCAUCGUAAGGUUAGUUGACUUUUUGUUGACCUUUUAAUGGUUAAGCACUUAAUCUGGAUAGUUAUAUUAUACAUGGUUGUUUCUUUUUUACUUCAUUUGGAUAGAAUGGCCUUUACUUGUUUGUCCUUUUUUCCUUAUGACUCCUCUCAAUUGAUGAAUAUUGUUUGUUGGAAUGUAAGGGUAAAAUGGUCAUUUAGUAGAGUUAAGAUGUUUUUAUUUGGCCUAGAAAAGAAACACAUAUUAUGUAUACAACACUUUAUCCAGAUAAACAUCCUUACCGGUUCAGCCACUUUACCCUUGAAAGGGUAAAAUGGUCGUUUAGUCUCGUUAAGAUGGUUUAUUCGGUGCAAAAUAGAAACACAUAUUAUAUAUACAACACUUUAUCCAGACAAACAUCAUUACCGGUUCAGCCGCUUUACCCAUUAAAGGGUAAAAUGGUCAUUUUGUCUUGUUCAGAUGGUUUAUUCGGUCUAGAAAAUUGUUUUUUGGGAUGUAAGGGUAAAAUGGUCAUUUAGUCUCUUUAUUCGGUGAUUUCAGUCUAGAAAAGAAACAAACAUUAUGUACAAAACUCUUUAUUACCCGUUCAUCUACUUUACCCAUGCAAGGGUAAAAUGGUCAUUUGGUCUCAUUCAGAUGGUUUAUUUCAUCUAGAAAUUCUUUUUGUUCGAAUGUUAGGGUAAAAUGGUCAUUUGGUCUCAUUAAGAUGGUUUAUUCAGUCUAGAAAAGAUACAAAUAUUAUGUAUACAACACUUUAUCUGGACAGACAUCAUUACCGAUUCAGCUGCUUUACCCAUGCAAGGGUAAAAUGGUCAUUUAGUUUUCAUUCAGAUGGUUUAUUCAGUCUAGAAAAGAAACAAAUAUUAUGUAUACAAAGACAUCAUUUACCGAUUUCAGCUGCUUUACUAAAUCAUUCAGAUGGUUUGAGUCUAUAAAUAUGUUUGUUGGAAUGUAAGGGGUAAAAUAGUCAUUUACAAUGUUUAAUGACUCGUGGCAGGGUGAGGAAUACAAGUUGUUUUGGCCUGAUGAACCCGAAUUUGUAAGAAUGGCAGCAAAGUUCGGGGCUACAAUCAUACCAUUUGGAAGUGUUGGAGAAGAUGACAUCACUGAGGUAACCUAUAAAUAUACAUGUGUUUCUUUUUCACUUAAUGCAUAAAGAACUUAAUAGGGAAAGUCAGAUAAACAGACAUUAAUACUUUGACUUCUUUUUUUAGUUGGUUCUUGACUAUGAUGACAUGAUGAAAAUCCCUAUCCUAAACAAUUACAUAAAAAAAUCAAACGAAGAGGCUAUCAAUGUAAGGUAAAAUUCACUUCUCCUUUGAUCCUCUCUAGAUUGCUUUCAAAUAUAAAAACAAAAAAGCCUUUUGAUCUAAAAAGUCAAAUGUACAAUGUUUUGGUCAACUAGGGCUGAAAUGGAUGGAGAAGUUGGUAAUCAGGACUUAUUCCUUCCAGGCCUUGUACCAAAGGUACCUGGUCGCUUCUACUAUUUAUUUGGGAAGCCAAUACAAACAAAGGGAAAAGAAAAGAUGUUGAAAGAUAGAGAAAAUGCAAAAGAGUUGUAUAUGGAGAUAAAGUCUGAAGUGGAAAAGAGUAUGGCUUAUUUGAUUAAGAAGAGAGAGGAGGAUCCUUAUCGUGGGAUUGUUAAUAGACUUGUAAAUCAACCGAUUUUAACCCCCGUGCAUCAAGUUCCCACAUUUGAGCCUUGAAAAUGUAUAUAUAUAUUUUAAUUAUUAAGUUAAUGAUAUACCAUCUUCCAUAUACAUGAGUUAUGUGUACAUAUUGACAUGAUUUUUAGUAUUAUGUAAUCUUGUAUACAAGUAUGUGUUAUUAUUUUCCUUGUUUAUUUGUUAUAUAUGAAAGAAAUUGAUUUUUUUUUUAAUAAUGUUAUUGGUAAGUGUUCUUAAUGGCGGGAUUUAAAGCAAUAGAUAUGGAGGGUCUAGGAUGGAAUAACAUACAAACCACAGGGGUGUUUUGGUAAUUCAAGCUAGAAAGGUACUAGAUAUUUUGAAGAAUUAUGGCUUUGGAUCAUUAGAUGGUUGUACGAUUUCAAAUUUGUUUUUGCUUUAAAAGGGGUUAUUUUUUAGGAAAAGACAAAAGAGAAACAAAAGAUAGAAGGCUAAAUUUCAUUUGAUGGGGUUAUCUUUUUAACAUGUGCAAAAGUAACCUCUAUAUUAUUACAUAAUAUAUGAGAAAAAGACAAAUAAGUCUAUUUUUAUUUAUUAUUUUUUUAAGAUUAAAUAAAAAAUUAGGCAUUAUACCCAAAUAGCUAUUUAUUUAUUUAUUUAUUUUUUUUGCAGAUAAGACACGCAAAAAUCUCCUCCCAUCCGCGACAAUCUAUUUUUUUUCUAAUAAAAUAUUAUUUUUGGUACAAAACAUGUCUAAUAAAAUAUUAUAUAUGGGCUGCGGAGAAGUUUUUAUGGACUUCGAAAAUCACACAAUGAGACGAAAUUACGGGUCUAUUAUGGACCCUUUAUUUAAGGUAAAAAAAUUAUUUUCACAUUUUUUACUUUUGAUUUUCGCAAACCAUAAAUAAUUCUCUCUCAAAAACUCAUACAGGCUACACACAAAUAUUUGCAAAGAAAAAUGACACAAAACGACGACGUUCUACCUGAAACAGUACGCGUUGACGUUUUUCUACCUGAAAAUCUAUUUUUCCAUAUCUAUCAGGAAAAAAACACAUAUAAUCUAAUAUUUUCUUAGAAAAAGGUAAGAUUUCGCAGCUAGGAUCUGCAAGAAACUCAAAUCUGUUUUAGAAAAUGAUUAAUAACUAAUUUUUUAUUUGUUUUUAACAUUUUAUUUGUUAUCUUUAAUGUAGCAUGUGUACACAUUUAGUGGUCAGAUGAAUGCAAAUAAACUCUUUAACAAGGAAGAUAACUCGAGUUAUUUUGGUCCACCACGUAUGGAUGUUGGGUAGACCCACUCAUUGUUUACAGGGUAAUGUGAAUGUUAAAUUUUUUGCUUACUAACCAGAUUCAAAUUUGGCAGAUCAGAAAAUAAGGAAAUGACCAAUGUUGAAUCAAUGUUCGUGCCACGAUGCUUCCAGAGCAAACAUAUAACUCUUUGACAGUUAGUUAUUUGAAUUGAAUUGUCUUGACCAUAUUUUUCAGUGGUCGAGGAUUUAAUUCUUUGUAUAAUGGAUAUGCAUGAGGGAUUUUUUUUUUUCUUGUGGCCAAACACUUCUGUUGAGAUGCACAAAUAUUUAAAAAAAAUACAUAAGCAUGCAAAUCGUCAUCAGAAUAACGAAUCCACCCAACCAUUUAAGUACAUGUCUCUCGUUUUCUUUUUCCAUUCAAGGAAUGAUUUAAAUAAUAUAAACAAAGUUUUAGUUUUUUAUUUGAAAGUAAUUUACUUAUAAAUUUUGUUAGAUAUGGAUUCGAGAGAGUUCCAUGGGUGUCAUCAAGUAUUUACUACCCUAUGCGCGGUUGGAAGGCGAUUAAGAAGAUGAGUGGAUUUGUAUGUGAUUUAAUGUAAACGAUUUGCAUUAGAUGACCACUAUAUGCAUAAAUAAAUUAUGAUGACCAUUGAGAUUAAUUACCAAAUUAAGUCCUACAUGAGAAAAUAAAGACUGAUUUAGGGAUGAUUAGUUUAUAGGACCAUUGUGAUUAUAGUCCUUGUAUCAUUAGGAUUAGUGAAUAGACCAAUGGAUCUAAUCAACUCAGAAUCAGUGAAUAAUGACCAAUAUUUGUUGCAUUUUGUAUGAAUCAACCAUAAUGUUAGGGAGAAUCAUGUCUAAAUGUAAGUAUUCUUUAUCAUUUUUUUUUUCAGAAAUCUUGUUCUCUAGUUAGUUUUGUUGCUNUUUUAUUAAUUAUGAUUGACCACUAAUUAAGUAUCCUUUACUAAAUCAUUCAUGUUCCCCAAGUGUUCGACAAACCGGUCUCUUACCCUAACUAUAUUUUUUAUGUGAUUAGGUGCACUUGCCCAGUUGUGGUAUUUCUUAUUAUAAAUUUAAAACUAGUAAAAUCACAUCAAUUUCUAUUUAAAGUUCAUGAUUAGAAGUCUAUAUACCAUUUCCAUGAUGUUGGUGGCAAAGUUCGAUUGAUCUCCACCUUGUUAGUGAUGCAUGGGGUGGAGUUGUGAUACUCCCAACCAUUCCAUGUGGUCUUGGAGGUCAUGAUUAGAUCAUGAUUUUGUUGUUAUAACCUUCUUUAUAUAUAUAUANNNNNNNNNNNNNNNNNNNNNNNNNNNNNNNNNNNNNNNNNNNNNNNNNNNNNNNNNNNNNNNNNNNNNNNNNNNNNNNNNNNNNNNNNNNNNNNNNNNNNNNNNNNNNNNNNNNNNNNNNNNNNNNNNNNNNNNNNNNNNNNNNNNNNNNNNNNNNNNNNNNNNNNNNNNNNNNNNNNNNNNNNNNNNNNNNNNNNNNNNNNNNNNNNNNNNNNNNNNNNNNNNNNNNNNNNNNNNNNNNNNNNNNNNNNNNNNNNNNNNNNNNNNNNNNNNNNNNNNNNNNNNNNNNNNNNNNNNNNNNNNNNNNNNNNNNNNNNNNNNNNNNNNNNNNNNNNNNNNNNNNNNNNNNNNNNNNNNNNNNNNNNNNNNNNNNNNNNNNNNNNNNNNNNNNNNNNNNNNNNNNNNNNNNNNNNNNNNNNNNNNNNNNNNNNNNNNNNNNNNNNNNNNNNNNNNNNNNNNNNNNNNNNNNNNNNNNNNNNNNNNNNNNNNNNNNNUAUAUGCAUUUAUGCGUAUUGUUUGGAUGGAUCAUUUGGAUCCGAUCAAGUAAAUCCAAAAGGAUUUUAGUAUUUAAUAUGUUGAUCUAAAUAGUUCAAGCUAAAAUAAAUCAGAUCCGAACCAACCAAAUUAAUUGGAUUGGUUUUAUAAUUCAAUUUCUAGGAGAUAACUACAUUUCAAAGAAUAUAUAUAAACACUAUACAUCAAAUUGAGCUGGAUAAUAAAAUUAAAAAUAUAUUGGACAUAAUCGGGAAAGCAUAAAAGUAAUUGAACAUAAAAUUGAUGGCCCCAUCUUAAGAUUCAUUAGUUCAACAACAAAAAAUUGCUAUAAAAAACUAUAAAUUAAAAACUCAUCAAUGGACAUAAAAUCAUGGAUAGACACAAACCAACAUUCAACAAACAAUUUGGUUUUAUUCAAAAAUAGUUAAAAAUAAAUAGUUAAAACUACAAGUUUAGUUACAAAAGCAAUUUUAUGUUUGAAUAAACUAAAACAAUUUUAACCCACAAAUAUCAUUUUGCAAACAUGAAAAGAUUAAUACAACAUAGGAAGAAAAGAAUAUAACAUUUGGAGACUUUAGUUCCUCUUGGGAGGUUGGAAGUUUAUGAAGAAUGUAUAGUAGAAGUCCACUUUAGUUAUUUAGUUCCUUUCGAUCCUCGCUAGGAUCGGUCCCGUAGCCUAUCAACUCCGACUACCUCAAGAACUUAGCAACGUCCAUCCUGUAUUCCACGUCUCUAAUCUCAAAAAGUGCCUAUCCGACGAAACCCUCGUGAUCCCUCUUGAUGAAAUCAAGAUCAACGAAAACCUGAACUUCGUGGAAGAACCAAUCGAAAUCAUGGAUUGAGAGAUCAAACGUACGAAACAGAGCCGUAUCCCGAUAGUGAAGGUUCGCUGGAAUGCCAAGCGGGGACCCGAAUUCACUUGGGAGCGCGAAGACUCAAUGAAACAGAAAUAUCCGCAUCUCUUUCCAAAUCCAUGAUUUGUAUCUUCAUUCUAAAUUUCGGGACGAAAUUUCCUCAAACGGGGGGAUGAUGUGACAACCCGAAAUUUAUUCCGUCACUGUAACCCAUUUCCGUUAAUAAAAUUUAUUUUUAUUGAAAUUUUCCGUUAACUUUUGGGUUAGGCAAAUCAAUUAAUGUUUUUAUUUUAUUUUAUUAAGUGUCGAAACAAAAUAAAAACACGUGAAACACCCUCGAUAAUCCUUUAGAAAAUUUCUAGUUUACGACCAAGUCGGGUUACAACCAUUUAAUCAGGUACGACCAUAAACUCCGUUUAACGUCAGUAUUGGGUAGAUCCCCACCUGGCCACAAACUCAAACCCUAUAUAUGGGUUGAGUGGUCAUCUUUUGAAACCUUUUGCCCACCCUCAUAGCUUUCUCUCUAUACUCUCUCUCUACAACUCGAGUUUUGAUCCAAAAACGCCCCUUUCGAGCUCCAAAAUCGUAAGUGAUCUAUCCUAGCUUAUUGUUUAACUUGUUAAGCAUGCAAAUAUGUGUUUACAUCAUUCACAACUCUCAAAAACUUGUGUUUACGGUUGGGGAACACCUCCCAAAACCGUAAACUCCCAUAAGUGGGUUUUGAAGCCCCAAAACCCUUCCAAAUCCUUUCUAGUGCUUAGCUAUGACUUAGAAAUUUGCAUGCAUGAACUUAGAACCCCAAAAUCAUGUCUUUAUGGGUGUAAACAUGAGUUUACGGUCCAUGAACAUUCAUGAACCGUAAACACCUUUUUAAGGUGUCUAAAUGCCCUUAAACACCUCCAAAAGCUUGCAUAAGUGCCUANACCCCCUUCCUAUGCCUCUAAAAGCCACUAGAACCUUACAUACAUGAGUUUACGGCCGUAAACUCAUGUGUUUACGGCCGUAAACUCAUGUGUUUACGGCCGUAAACUCAUGUGUUUACGGCAAUAAACUCACCAAGGGUCCUUCAAGAACCAUAAACUCCAUUUCCAAGGUCAUUUCAAGUCCCGAUCACUUCCUAAGCCUUUGAUUCAACCUUAGAACCUUCCCUUGUGCAUUAUAAGACCAUUGGACACCAAAAAACACUCCACCCAUGAGUUUACGGCCGUAAACUCAUGGGGGAUAUGGUCUUUGGUCCGUAAACACCCCUAAGGGUUUACAUUCGAAGAGUAAACUCCUUAUCUAGGCCCUACACUCCUUAGAUGCAACCUGUACCACUUCCAACACUUGAGAUAAAGUGUUUUCAUGCAUCGGAGUGUAUUAUCUUACUUAAUUAAUGGUUCAAAGUCUAAUUAGAUACAAUUAUGUAUCUCCUCAUGUUACAUAGGAUCCUCGCGCGUGUUCAAGCCCUAAACUGACACUUAGCAUCCUACCCGACACAUUCUCGUCUGGUGAGUUCAUACCCCUAUACCUUUUUCCGUGNUUUUUUUUGGGGGGGGGGGGGGGGGAAUACAAGCAAAAGUACAAGGAUACUUGUACUCAAAACCUUUUAUUUCGUAUGAAACGUUUACAUGUUCAGCAUGCUUUUAACACAGGAAAUCGUAUUACCAACCGUUUAACUUGUAGAGUUUGUUUUCGAAACUAAAACAGAGAAACUCGUGAAACUCAUUAUAAAAUGAUAUAUUUUAUAUUUCACAAAGGAUUUCAUGCCAUUCAUAAAAUAGGAUUUUUCCGUAUUAUUACUUGUAAAUUCGUUAUUCUUAAGAUUAGAGCACGUCCUCAGUAACACUCCACGAAGAUACGCGAGUGGAGGACCGCCCCUAUAACCAGAAUCUCCUGGAGGGAGAACGUGACUUGACUGUAUAGAUCUAUACGGGACUGACUACCCCACACCUUGUUGCUAGCUACAGUGGGACCGACAGGUCUACAGGUGACAAAAGUCAUAAAUGAUACUGGCCUCGUUACGCGCCAUAUCCAGUUUAUCGUAUGGUUAUGGAACUCGCGACUUAGAUAAGAUGUUAGUCUUCUUCUUGUAACGAAAGAAUCUCUUAAGAUAUAAGUUAAUAACCCAAGUAUUAACUUAAAGAGAUAUGCAAGUAAAAUAUCAACCUUCUUUCAUGCAAAUGAUUAACACUUUAAGAAUGAAAGAAAUAGUAGAGAAAGGGAUAGAGAAAUUCGGAAUUUCACUAGUAAAAAAAUGAAAUGAAAAUGGUAUCUUAAACACUUUCAAGAAGACACAUUAUCCAUUGAUUAUUUGUCUUUUGACACCAUCUCACCAGUUAACAAAAAGGCUAAAAAGGUGGUAUGGCUUUAUGAUUAAACUAGUAAAUCUUUUAUCUCUUCCAAAUCAUGUAAAUCCACGACUUUUAUGUGGAGAAAGAGAAGCAAUGCUGCAACCAAAUAUCAUGAAGAAUAAAUAGUUUAAAACCCUUCCAAGUCAUGUAUAUCUCCCAUGUAAUAUCCUCUCUUUAUCAUACUUAAUCAUUGAGAAGAAAGCAUGCUUCCAAAGCAUGUUCCUCUUAAUAUAAUAAGUAUCCAAGUACAAAGAAACCAUUCCUUAUCCUUGACCAUGUUUUUUUUCUUUCAAAUUGGGGAGAAUGAAAGGCUUUCCAUCAUUCUUUUAUUUAUAAGUGAUGUUCAUUGAAUAUUGUUAGGUGUGUCAAACCCAACAAAUAAAGGGUACAAAUGACUCCUUAAACACUACUACUAUGUACUAAUAAUGUACUACAAGGUAAGUAGGGUCAAUCCACAGAGACACGGGACAAGUGUUUAUACCUUUUUUGCGGAAGGUACAAUAAUGUUCACAUAAAUGGGGGGGUUGGUAUGCAAUGAUUUAAACAAGUGGAUAAAGCAAUACGUAAAUGAUCAAUUAAAUGAAACAAAUUCAGGAUUUGUGAUAACUCCAACUCUAUGCAAGACAAUUUAACAAUGUGAUUCCAAUGAUGAAAUAAUAUCUACUCAAUUUCACCUAAGUUGGUACUUGAAAGUGUUAACAAGUUCUAACACUUCCCAUUCACCAAGUUGUCAAAUUCAAAACAAGCUCUUUGAAAAUAACCUAACCUUCUAAUUUAAGUCUAAACAAGCUCUUAGAUAGAAAUCAAAAGGUUGCAAUAAGAUUUAUGUGAAUGUUCCCAACAACACCCAAUACUCCUCACAAGCUUGGGAGUUUAAGAGUAUGUGAAUAAGAUUUACACUAAAUUCAUUCAAUGGAAAUCAAUUUAGUGUUUGUUACUUAGUCCAAUUCACAAAACAAUUACGGAUUUUGCAAUUAGAUAACUUGAAUGACCUAACCCUAAUUCAAAUGGCCAAUAAGAAUUACAAUUAGAAUCAAACAUUCAAUUGAAACAAAAUCAAAUUCACUAGGUAGGAAUUGGAAGUAAACAUCAAAUCACAUGAUUGAAAUCACAACUAAAAAGUCAAGACAUAAAGUUGGAGAAACUAGGGUUCUAGCCACUCAUGACUAGAACAAGAUCACAAAUCUAGAAAAUGAAAUUAAAGUUCUUACAAAAUGAAAUCAAAUGUUCCCAAGUGUUAAUCAACUCCAAAAUCCUCUAGAAAAUCGCCUUCUUUGCUCCCAAAAUCGACACCUUGGUAAAAAGUUGGUUCCCCCCUUUAAGAAUGGUGAAAAACUGCUUUAAAACCCGCAUUUACGUUUACACGGCCCGUGUAAAUUAACACUGUCAUUUACACGGCCCGCGUAAACGCAAAAAUAUACUGCGCAGAAAUCUACGUUUACACGGCCCGCGUAAACGCAAGGCUUCCAUUUACACGGCCGUGUAAACGUCUGUAAAGCCAAAAUCUUCGUUUCUUUGAUAUAUUGCUCCUCGGUGCUCCGCAAGUCCCGAAAUUUUGUCCGUAACUCUUAUUUACCUCCUCCAACAAUAUCCUACCUCCAAAAUUCCCUGAAAUAUCACAAAAGUAUUUGAAUGAAGUUGCCUCAUGAAAAAUCCCGAAAAACAUGCAAAAUGCAUGAGUUUAAGCCUAAAUGCAAUGUACUUUUAUGAAAUAAAGCUACAAAAUGGGUACAUGAAAUGCACCUAACAAAUCUCCCCAAGCUUAAACCUUUCUUGUCCUCAAGAAAGAACAAGAAAAUUUAAACUAGAGAAAAUAAAAUAGAAUAGAAGAAAAGAAAAUUAAAGUUAAAACUAUUUGAAACUUAAUGCAUGAAANUAUAUAUAUAUAUACAUAUAUAUAUACACACACAACUUAUAAAAAUCAUUCCUUAUGAUUUAUUUUGAUACUUAAUAUUUCCAUGAAAUAAAUAAUUUCCAAAUAAUUACAAGGGUUAUAUUUAUUUAUCAACGAUCAAAUUCUUAUAAAUAAUAUAUUUGCAUCAAGUUGUUAGUGUGACCCUUUAGGAUCAUAUAUUAUCUGUCUACAUCAUUCUAUAAUGACUCUUGGGCAUAUAGAUCUUUCAAUCUCCGACUUGCAUAAGACUCAUUCUAGAUUGAUAUAGACAUUGGUGAACGUUUGGUAACAUUUCACUGCCCCCAAUAAUAUAUGACUUGGUUCCAUUCUAUUAACAUCCAAUUCCUAAAAUCUCAAAGUCUCAACUGAUGUAUAAGGUAAGUUUAUCUUUUAUCCCUUUGUUACAGACAUCAUGUUGAACACGAGACUUGGAUCUCAAUCAAUCUCAUUUGGUGUUCAACUUUGGGUAACACGCGUUAGAUGUCAAACUCUCAGCACAUAAGAUGAACAAAUCCCAUCUUGACUACAUAAUCCUCUUUCAUUGUUCACAUCACACCUGACAAUGGCCUUUAUAAUUGCCUGGUUAAAGAUAAGCAUUUGACCACAUCAAAUCACAACAGUCCCUGUACUUAAGUCCCAUUAUAUAUCUUAGGUAUUAUGGAUACAAAGAUAGUACCUUAAUCAAGUAUCACUCAUGAUAGCAAUCCAUGAGGUGAUCUUGGUACAGGUCAUGUCCAAUACUAGUUCUCUGACAAGUACUUAUGAAUCUUGGUUACAAAACCUUGCCUACUUUCAUCGUGUGGAAGUCAACCAAUCCAGUUCAUGUUAGUCUUACUUCAUAAUUGCUCCCAUAAUUAUGACCGACUAUGAAAUUUUAGAAUAAUAAUAUUAUUAAUGGAUUAAACACGUUAAUAUAGAACACAACAAAUAUUGAUGUGAUGAUCAUAUCCCAAUAUAUCAAUGUAACACCCGAUUCAAGGUACUUUCAUUUUUGACCCUUGCUAUGUAAAUAUUUUGCAGAUUUUAUGUGCCUUGUUAGGCCACUAACCUUCUAAAUUUGGGCCAUUGUUAGGCUUUGGGUCUCCCUGGAUUUGGGCCAUGUAUGGGCUUUGGUCAUCAUUUAGGAUUUUGGUCCAUAUUGGGCUUUUGGAGCCAUUGGAUGGGGCCUCGGUUAUUGGGCCAAGUAAGGAAGGGAUAAAAUGGUCUUUUACCAUAGGAGUUGGUCAAAUGAAAUAGAUUCCUAUUUAUGGUUAUGACCCAAUUAUUAAUUGGGGUUUUAUUGAUUAUUUAGUGUGGGGACUUUCCAGAUCAACACUCCGCACAUUUAUCUGAUUUUCAACAGUUUGAGGUGAGUCUCCUCCCAGUGUUUAGCAGGUCGAAGUUACCAAUGCUGACCCAUGAUUUAUUAUGAUUAGGAUGCUAGUUGUCUGUGUGACUCUUGCAUGUGUAGUAUGUGAUAUGUAUACCGGGCGGGGUUUGAUGCCAGGUGGGGGUUGAUGUGCGUAUUAUAUGCUAUUUGUCUUAGUAAGUCUUGCAUGUGUUUUAUGUGUUUGUAUGAAUGCCGGGCGGGACCCGAUGCCAGGCGGGGCCUGAUGAAUGUGAUGAGGGGAGGCCCAUCUCAUGUUAUUGACAGAUAUGUUCCAUGCGGGGUCGAUACCGGGGAGGCCCGAUGGUUGUUGGGCAUGGCCCAUUGUAUGUUUGAUAUGUAUGGUAUGAGGUAUUUUGGGGAACUCACUAAGCUUCGUGCUUACGGUUUUCAGUUUAUUUUUCAGGCACUUCCGGAUCGAAGGGGAAGAGGUCAGGAUGAUCACAUCGCACACACCGUAUUGUUCCGCCUUUUAUUUGACUCUGAUGUAUUUGGAUGAUUAUUAACACACUCUGAUUUCAUUAUGGUUUUAUGAAAAUGUUUUGGAUUAUAGUUUUAUUAUUAUAAAAAUGAAAUUUUUGGUCUUAAAUUUUGGGACGUUACAAUCAAAACAAUAUAAUAAUUUUUUUCUUAAUGUUCCAAUAUCCAAAUACUAAAUCCAAAUAAAAAUCCUAUUUCUAGAAUCAUGAAGUCAUAUAGCUGAAGUGUGACCAUUCAUACUUAGCUUAAAUGGAGAACUUUAUUAAUGGGUCUGACUAAAUUUAAUUUAUGUGAAUUUUGUGAAUACUAUCAUCUCCAUAUUUGAAUUUAGCAUGUAUAAUAGAGAAAACAUAGAUCCAAGGUAUUUAGGGUUGCAUGUACACUUAGGAGUGUUAGAAUGCUCAAAACCCAACAGUGGUAUCAGAGCCUAGGCUUGUUUUCUUGUUAUACUUGCAAAAUUAGCUUAAAAAUCGAAUUUUAAUGCUGUAUGCUCAGCAGACUCGCCGAGUCCACUGAUGGACUCGCCGAGUCCAAGGCAAAAUGCAUCCAAUUCGCCGAGUUGGUUCGUGCACUCAACGAGUUGGACCCCCAGACAACAUUGAUUCGAUUGUUUUGGCUGGAAUUGGACUAGGAACAUUACCCUAAGAUGUUUUUGGACUUAUAAACUUGUUUUUGAUGUGGUAAUGUUCAUGCUAAUCCAAUUUCAAAGAUAAUUAUCAAUAGAUUCAUGUUUUGUAUUAGUUUAAGGUUUAGACUAAUUACAUGAAAAAGUUUGAUUUGAAUUAUCUUGUUCAUAUGAGUUGCUUAGAUUAAUAGAUAAGUUAAUUGAUUAUGUGUUUUCAAUCCAUUUUAAUCUAAGAGAUGAUUCUAAAAUGUGUUUGUGUAACUUGUCCUCAAGUUACAUGAAAGGUCACAUUUAAGUUUCAUAAAAAACUCAUAAAAGUUGACAAUGGUUACAAAAGUGAAGAGUCUUGUCCUCAAGUUAUGGAGGUUCAAGAGUCACUUCAUUAAGUAAUAAAAUGUGUAACCUUAAUUAAUUCCAUAAGUUACAAAAUAAAGAAAAGUUACAUUCUUUUAUUAGUUUAAAGUCUUCCAUAACUUGUCCUCAAGUUAUGGAACUUGAAGAGUNNNNNNNNNNNNNNNNNNNNNNNNNNNNNNNNNNNNNNNNNNNNNNNNNNNNNNNNNNNNNNNNNNNNNNNNNNNNNNNNNNNNNNNNNNNNNNNNNNNNNNNNNNNNNNNNNNNNNNNNNNNNNNNNNNNNNNNNNNNNNNNNNNNNNNNNNNNNNNNNNNNNNNNNNNNNNNNNNNNNNNNNNNNNNNNNNNNNNNNNNNNNNNNNNNNNNNNNNNNNNNNNNNNNNNNNNNNNNNNNNNNNNNNNNNNNNNNNNNNNNNNNNNNNNNNNNNNNNNNNNNNNNNNNNNNNNNNNNNNNNNNNNNNNNNNNNNNNNNNNNNNNNNNNNNNNNNNNNNNNNNNNNNNNNNNNNNNNNNNNNNNNNNNNNNNNNNNNNNNNNNNNNNNNNNNNNNNNNNNNNNNNNNNNNNNNNNNNNNNNNNNNNNNNNNNNNNNNNNNNNNNNNNNNNNNNNNNNNNNNNNNNNNNNNNNNNNNNNNNNNNNNNNNNNNNNNNNNNNNNNNNNNNNNNNNNNNNNNNNNNNNNNNNNNNNNNNNNNNNNNNNNNNNNNNNNNNNNNNNNNNNNNNNNNNNNNNNNNNNNNNNNNNNNNNNNNNNNNNNNNNNNNNNNNNNNNNNNNNNNNNNNNNNNNNNNNNNNNNNNNNNNNNNNNNNNNNNNNNNNNNNNNNNNNNNNNNNNNNNNNNNNNNNNNNNNNNNNNNNNNNNNNNNNNNNNNNNNNNNNNNNNNNNNNNNNNNNNNNNNNNNNNNNNNNNNNNNNNNNNNNNNNNNNNNNNNNNNNNNNNNNNNNNNNNNNNNNNNNNNNNNNNNNNNNNNNNNNNNNNNNNNNNNNNNNNNNNNNNNNNNNNNNNNNNNNNNNNNNAUCAACUAUCUUGAAUAUCUCCCAAAAGAUGUCUGGUUUAGACAUUUAUGAUCUUCCCAAAUCUCUUGAAACAAGCUUUCCUAAAUGAAGAUGAUGUCCCAUGGAAAUCAUACUUCUUUCACCUCCUCCAAUUAUUCUCCCUAACCCACAAGUUCCUGAAAAGUUUAAGGUCACUCAAGCCCUAUUGACAAGCAAAGGUCUAUGUGUGAUCACAUCUUGGAGAUGUAGUCACAUAUUGACAAGCCGAGAGAGUUGGGUGUCAAAGUCUUGAGAAAGUUGGUGGCUCAACUACUUUCUAAGUCACAUAGUGAGUUCCUUUGGGACUCCUAUGAAACAGACUAUGACAAGACCCUUAAUGAUCUUAUCUAUUUGCUAAGAUCAACUUCCUAAAACUUUAUGGACAUUGAUAAUGAUGACAUUGGAUAUCCAGUAAAGCUCUCUCUUCCCAACGGAAAGGGAUCGACCAUAGUCAACUCGGUUGACCAAAUGGUAAAGAGAAAGGAAAGUCUGUGAUAGUCCAAUACACCAUUCCCAGAGAGUCCAUAUGGUUCUCUUUCCAAAGGAAGAGGCAUUGGUUGCAAAGCUGCCUAUUUACCUGAAAGAUCAUAAGGUUGAUCAAGUCAAGAAGUUUGAAUCUACUUCAGGUAAAGUACUGUCUAACNCUAACUCUGCUAAGUUUCUAUUAUGAGAUUCUUGAUACAUGAUGUGACUGGGUCACAUGUUGAUGUUUUAAGAAUCAAAGAAAAAUGAAGAAACUUAGAGAAAGAAUAUGCUGAAUCUGAUCGCGUAGAUGGAUUUCUAUCGCGUAGUUUGAAGAUCGGAUUCUUGAGCUACUUCUUAGGAGUUAUGAUAUAUUGAUUAGGAAUAGAUAACAACAAAGUUUUCAUGUGUUUUUUCACUGUAAGGAUAGUUUUACGCAAAGUUUUUAAAUAAAAGGAAAAUUUUUGAUUUUAUUUAAAAUAUCCUUACAAUGGCGUUUGUGGAAAAUUGUUUCUUAUAAGAUUCCAAUGAUAGCAAUAUUGGAAAGUUAAUUUGUUUCUUUCAUUUGUGGUAAUGUCUAAAUUUACCAAAUAAGGAAAGAUUCUCGUCACCCAAGGUUUCAGUUGGAUCGAGACUUGGAAUCAUGCAAGUUGUUUAGCAUGAUGGAUGAGAACUUUCAAGCAUUGGAAAAAUUAAGACUAACUACUUGUUUACAUGGAUGUGUGAGUCAAGUAAAGGACUAAGGGAUCGAGUACACAUUCUUGUGCACUGGCCAAUAUCCACCACAAAAGAUGGAUAAGACUAUUCAUCAUGGUUUACUAAGUCUAGUAAAUAUGGUUAUACUUACAUGCCUAAGUAUAAUUCUGAAGCAUUGGAAAAAUUUCGAUGUAUGGCAGAACGAAUGAGAAGAAUCAAAUUAGGCAGAAGGAUAAAAGUUUCUCAAAUCUGAAAAGAUGGGAGAGUACUUUAGUAUCAUGUUGUAUAAUAAUCUUAAUGAUUAAGAUACCUUAUCACAAUUCAUCCUCUAAGUGCAUUCUGAUAGUUAAGAAGAGGGGUUAUGAAUUGAUGAAGUGGUUAAAUCAAGAAGAUGAUUCAUACUUCGUUCCAAAAACAAUUCUUAGAGUUAUACUCUAAGAUUGUAACUUUAGUGAUAUGUCUUAAAGAAGGUUUAAAACACUUGUCAAAUGUAAGAGUACAAGUUUUCUACUCUUGUACAUUUCAAAUUGGUAAGUUGUGAUGUUUUGGAUAAAACAAAGACCAACUAAGGCCAAUUGUGUAAAGUGUUUGUCUUGAUUAGAAUCCACACUAUCUCUUGAAUAUUUGACAAGAGAGUCUUAUAUGUCAUGAGGACAGUGGGAGUCUUAAAGGUCUUGAAAGUCUCAAGAACUAAUCAAGAAUAAAACCUGAAGUUCUUCACUAGCACACGACUUGAGGUUUAUAACCUAUCGUGUUGACAUAUUCUGUGCCCAUUCCAGUUAAAGUUGGCUUUGCAUAUGAGUUCUUAGAGUUCUCAAUUGGUUGCACAACAACUUGGAAGCAAUGGCAGGCCCUUGAGCUGCCAGGUGGCAAGAAAUUAAGAUUGAGUUCAGUCCAUAUGAGUUUGGAUUUGUCAUUAUCCUUGUCUUGUGACUAUGGUUUUGACAAUUCACAUGGAUAAGAACACAUACACCAUUAAAUCUAAGUGUCAUAAGGUUUCUCUCCGAUUCAUGAAAAUGAUGGUGAGGAAACACUUUCACUAAGUAGAUUUUAGCUAGAUAGCAAUUGUGAUAUUUGCAUUCUCAAAGUCGUUAGUGGAGCGUGUGUGGUUAACCGGCACACUAACCUGGACUUGUGAGAAGUGGCAAAAAGGUCUAACCAUUAUGAUUACGGCAUCCCUCUUCAUAAUUGUUUAGACACACAAGUGUGCUAUCUAAGGGAAGGUGUAUGAUUUUGAUAAAGUUUUAUCAAAACAAUCUAGUAUCAGAAAUCUGAACUUUGGUAAGAAAGUCAGCUGAUUUCUGAGUACAUGUCAAAGCUAGUGGGAGCAUAAGUGUUAUGCUAAUAAUCAUCAUGUUAGUGGGAGCAUGAUAAUUAUGAUAAGUAUUGCAAGUUAGCAAUGUUAAUUAUAGAAAACAAAAGUUUCAAUUGGGAAAAAGUUGUUUUGCUAUAAUUAAGGGAGAGGAAAUUAUGCUUCAUCUCAAAUCUAUAAGCUUAGAUCGUGAGGUUUUAAUCAUUUAGUCAAGGAUAUAUAUGAAUUUCAUGUUGGAAUGGCUCAACAUAAGGAAAUUCUGUAUAUGGGUCCAUUAUUUGCGUUCUAAAAUUCGAUUAUGAUUACGGCAUCCCUUUUCAUAAUCUGAAUUAUGAGAACUUGGCAAAUUGAAAUGGAAAUAUUAUAGCAAAAGACUGGUUUAGUCUUUAUGUGAGACAUCAUGAAUCGUGUCCCAUAUGCUUCGGAUAUAGGAUCGAUUACAUGUGCUAUAUUCAUCCGUUCUAAAAUUUUCCAAAUGCCUGGGGCAUUAAGAAGGGAAAAGGUUUAGAACUGGAUAUGACUAAAAGGAUUAAACAAUUGUCGAGGACAAUCUAAGGUUUACCAAAGAUUGGUUGCUCAAGGACAAUUGGAAGUAUAGUGAUAAUUCUGGAAGGACCAUAUUGACAUAAUCUGUAAGGAGGCAACUCUUGUUCAGAAGUGAUAGUCAAAAUGGAAUCUGGAAAUGUUUCAAAGUUAGAAUUUUCAAUCUGUGUAAGAUUAAGGAAACUUAAUGCAAGAAGGAUAUUUCCAAGGAGUUGAUCUCCUUUGGAAUACUCUGUAAUGAUUGUUGCCAAGUCUUUGUGACUUUGUGCAUAAUCAUUACAAGAGGAUCAAUGCAUAUAAGUUUAGAAUCUAACAGAUUUCAGUAAAUGGCAUGAAUUUGGAAUUCUUGCAUUUGCAGUAAGGAUUUGGGAGUGUGAAAAGAGAAUCAUUGAAGUUAUGUUCAAUUGAUCUAGUUCACAAAGUAAAGAUCAUAGACAAACAUAGUAUGCAUACUUGGUGUGUGGCAUGACUAGUGUUUAAGAAAACAUAGUGUACAUGCUUGGAGCAUGGGACAACUAUUGUUUUAAAUUCAAGAAUAAAGUUGAUAGCUGAAACAGUAUACAAUGAAUAAUGUGUAAUCAUAUGGUGAUAAAUAAAAGGUGUUUUAUUUAUGUUCAAAGGGUUGAUACCAUAUUGGAUUCAAUUAUUAUUGUGUUUCAUUUUGCAUGUUUUGACUUCCCGAAUAAACUGGGUUAUUCUUCCGGAAUGACUAAGUUAUUCAAACCAUCCACAGUCGGUCAUAUGUUGGAAGUAGAUAUGAAUUAAGACUGUCAUGGGUUGGCUUGUAGAGGUCUAAGGUGUUGGACAAAGGGCUACAACACUCAUGAGUGCUCAUAAGUUCUGAGUAUUGGAUUCAACCCGCGCUCAUUGGAAUCACUUCAUGGAUUUUAUCACGAGUGAUCAUGAGACGAUAAUAUCUUAUAUUCUUCAAACCUAGAGAUAUGAGUUGUUACUAUGAGUUGAUAGUACAUUGAUUGCACGAAAACGCAUUUGGUAACUCGGUGCUAUAAAACGUGCCUUUGUGUAUGAUUCAACAAGUAGUAGAACAAGCCAUAUGAGUCGAAGUUUAUCCAUUCCUUUUACCUUCGGGAUAAAAGCGAUAUCUGUGGGCCCCUCGAUGAUUUGAUGAUGACAAAUGGAAGUGCUCGGCCGGGCCAGGACUGAUUUGAUUUGUUCAAUUAGUCAGUCGUCAUAAAUCGGAAAUCGGGAAACAACAAAUGGACAGAGAGAAUGAUUAUAAUCCAUGUCUCAGUCCAUAUGAUAUCUAGAAUGGAGGAAUAUAUGAUCCCUUAUCUAAUGGACAAGUCAUUGACAAAGGUCAGAGUUCAUCGACAAGGUCAGAAUUCGACAGAAGCUUUUGAGAGCUACGAUUUCCAGUCGGUUCUUGAAGUCAUAUGCAAUAAUAGUUUUAGACUUAUCCAAGUGGGAGACUGUUGGAUUAAUGUCUAAGUCCAUAACUAUAAUUGGUAAGACUUGACCCGACCCAGCAUGGUCCAUUUGGGUUGCAUGACAUCAUGCAUUUAGAUAGACUACAAUGAGAGAAAUAACACUUAAGGUUUGUUAAUAUAUUAUAAGUUCUAAUAUAUUAAUAAGAUUAUUUAAUUAGUAUUGAUCAAGAAUUAAUCUAGGAUUAAUUAAGUGAUCAAAAGAAGACUAAUUAAAUAUAUGGGUUGAUUGUGUAAAUCAUCCAUACUUGUAUAGUGGGCUAAUGCUCCAUGGAUUAUCAAGUUGGGCUAAAACCCAUAGGAUGCUCCAUGGUGUAUUUGAACCCAUAGAUCCAAGGAAACUGAAAGCCAUGACAAUUAGAGUUUACCCUAAUUGUGUAACUAUAUAAUGAUCUUAUUCUUGGAGAAAAUCGGCCACUAUGUGUGAUAGAAAGGGCUAGCCGAUUUUAUGAAGUGUUCCAAUUUCUCUCAAGUCAUUCCAUUUGUAUUUGAUGUUGUGUGAGCCAUUUGAGGUGUCAUACUUGGGGCACUAGGCACUCAAGCUUCAUGAAGACUUUCUACAUCAAAGAGGUAUGUAAUUCUAACUUGAUAUAUUCAUAUGAAUCAAUGUUAUUAUGCUAGUUAGGAUGAAUACCUUGGAAAGUUCAUAUUUGCAUGUAUAAUAGAGAAUACAUAGAUCCAAGGUAUUUAGGGUUGCAUGUACACUUAGGAGUGUUAGAAUGCUCAAAACCCAACAUAAGUAUGUCUUGGUCAUACAAGAUUAUGAAUACCACUAUCGCUCCCACUAGUUUUUAGUAAACAUAGUUGUUAUCUUCAUUUUGAUCUAAAAGCAUACCUUGUAUUUUCAUAUUAAAAUGCCGAUUCCGACCUUGAUAUGUAUUAUUUAUAUCCACAAAUGGAUCUUAAGGCAUACACAUUUUGUUAGGAUAACUUAAAUUAAGAGAACCUACAGGCUAAGCUAUAUAGACAUCUCCAAAUAGGUCUCUAUUAAAGCGUUUUUUCUUGAAAUAUAUUAGCCAUAUCUCAUAUUAAGAAUAUGUAGUUAUGGUAAAUAAUAUUCUUAUUGAUCUAAUCAUAGCUAAUUGAUAAAAUAUUUGAUCAUAUCAUUGACAUGAUUAUGAUUAAAUCCUUUAACAAGUCUUACUAAACGUGUAUAGAUGACAUGUAAUGUAUCAUUUCUAAAAAAAUUACUUACUCCUUCUAGCCUUGCUAUAGGGAGGAAGAUUAAUCAAGCCCAUGCUCGAUCAUAAGACAUGGAUUAUAUCUCAGUGUUCAUGACUUAAAGUCAAUUAUCAGAUUCAAGAUCUGAUAUAAUAUUUUGGUAGUUGAUGAAUUUGUCAGAAACCAUCAAGAAGAACUCAUCAAUGAGAUAUCCCAUAUUUCUCAUGUUAUAGAUGAUUCCUACAUUGAUGAAGAGUGCUUAGAUCCUCCGUCAUCUUAUUCAACUCUAAAAAAAUAAAAUAAAAGCACAUGAUUAAGUUGUGAAUUAAAGUUUACAAAAAUUAAAUGUUAAAAUUUGAUAUAAUACAUACAUUCAACAAGUUCUUCAUUUUCAAGUAUCUAUUCUUCAUAAUUUAAAAUAUUAUGGGAUUUUUCAGAUUCAAUCUUGGGUCCAUAUAAGAGAGCUUGGACCAUUUUAGGGCUAAAAGAAUCAAGAACUCAACCUCAACGUCAAAUUAAUGAUAUGGUACAAUAUAUCUCACGUGGAUAUGUUUUCCCUUCGGUAUAUCACUGCCCCAUUGUUCCAUUCUUUCUUUCAUGUAAGCUACAGUCGUGUCAUUAGAGCUUGCAUUGUCAAACAAUGAUAGUUAAAAAUGUAUCAAUCCCCUAAUCCAACAAGCAUUAUUCAAUCUUCUAUCCAAUUUGACUCCCUUUGUGACUCAAUAUGGGACAAGAUUCAAAACCUUCUUGCAUAAAUUCCAUUCAUGAUCAACAAAAUGUGCUUUAAGACGCAUGUAGUUCACUCUGUAUAAUGAAAUCCAAGUAUAGUGGUGAGAUGUAUGUCGACCAUUCCUAGCAAACCAUUGUUGUAAUUUAUUUCUUUCAUCUAGGUAUAUUCGAAAGGAAAUUGAAAUCUAGGGUAAGCAAUUGACAUGAAAUGUCUAAAACCCCCUUUCUAAACAAAUAAGAAUGAUUGCUCGUCCAUGAUUCACAUGUGCCGUAUCUCUAAUAUGAAAGUGAACAUUCUCAUUCUUUUCCACUAAUUGUAUUAGAGUGGAAUUUUAAUAAAGUAUGUUGGGCAGCAUGAUCGAGUUUAUUGGGACAUGCCUUAGAAUGCUUAAGAAAACUAGAGGUUCCAUUCACUACUAGAAAAAUAGCAUUUUACGGCGCGCAAUGCGUGUCGUAAAAUGCUCAGACGACGCACAAAUGCGUGUCAAGGAAGGCCUUGCCAUAAUGAGAAACGACACGCUUUUGCGCGUCGUCUAUUUACGACGCGCAAUUAUGACACACAUUUACGACACGCAUUGCAUGUCAAGGAAGGCCCUGUCAUAAAGGAAGAUGAGACGCAUUUGCGUGUCAUAACCUUACGACGCGCGUUUAGGACACACAUUGCGUAUCAUUAAAGCCCCUGUCAUAAAAGAAGAUGACACACAUUUGCAUGUCAUAAACUUCAACAAACAUUUACGAUAUACAUUUACGACACGUCUUUUCGAUACUCAUUUACGCAUAGUACAAAAAUAUGGAAACAAAUAUAUACCAAAACAAUCAAUUUCAUCCAAUAAAAUCAUGUCAAAAAAUUGUAAUACAUUGGUAUUAAGGGGAUCUGAUUGUACAUUGCUAUUAAGAGGUUUUCCCUAACUAUAUAACCUAUUUGUAUAACCAAGUCCAAAUGAAAGUAUCCCCGGCCUUCUUCCAACUGUGUUAGAUUCCAGACGAAUUAACCUAUAUAUUAAUAAAAAAAUAACAUUAACAUAUAGCAAUAAAUAAUAAUAAUAGAUAUAAGAUAAGUAAGUAGCCUUACCCUGUUGGUUGUACUGCUUUAACUUGGCCAUAAUUGUAUUGCAUUGUUGCCUCUAAAGUAGAUUCUGCCAUUACAACUCUCUUUUCCAUUUGAGCAAGAGUAUACACAGCUUCUUCAUACUUCCUCUACACAUAACAUAUAUAUAAGAAAAUCAUCUACUUUUCAUUCAUUUGAUUUCCUUUGUUCUAGAAGAGUAAAUUAAUACUCCAUUUCUUUAUAGACAAGAGUAGAAAGGAUUGAGUACAUCGGAUCUGUCCAAAAAGAUUGAUAAUCAAGAGGUGGGAGAACGAGAGUGACGUUCAUUAUCUUGGCGAUAGCCACCAUGUCACAUAUCUGACGUUAUAAAUAAGAUUGGUUUUUAUUAAAAGUAGAUAUCUGAGAUAUAUAAUAAUAAUUAAUAUUGGUUUAACCCUUACUAAAAAUAGAAAAAUUGUAACAUGUAAGAAUUCUAAAAAUAAUAAAUUUGGAGGGAUAAGAACUCACCCAUGUCCUCAUUUGGUUCAAUCCGCCGUUGGCAUGAAAGAGAAAAUAUCCGUUUGUUAUGGAGCUGCUCUCUAAAAAGUAAAAUAAAAAAAUCAGAAUAUCUUUCCAGAAAUUAAUAAAUAAUUUUCAAUGAACAUAAAUAUAAGUUUAUCUAUUCUAUUUGAUUUUAGUCAAAUGUUAAUAUACAAAAUUAUAAUUUGUUAACAGCUGAAAAGCCUAAAAUGAUCGUGACUUAUUGCUUUGAUUCCGAGGUCUAGCAAUGCAUUAAUGAUAGCGACUGUUGUUUGAUUUCAUCCAGAUUUUUGAGGCCUAAGGAAACAAAAUAAGUUGUUACAAUUUAUAAAUUAUUUUAUCAAGUCAUUAAACUAUAAGAUUAAAUAAGAUCUAAAUAACAACACUAACAAGUAUUUAUGAGGUUAUUAAAUGGCUGCCAUACUAUUUGUUAUUUGACUGCUCGGUCCUUGAUUUAUUUAGACUUAAAAGUAGAAACUGGUAUGGAACGAGGGUAAAACGGUACUUUAAGUAAACAAGCUUACAGUAAAGGGACUUCUCAUACAACCUUUCGGGCAUGGAAGAUGUUGAAGAAACAAUGUCUGCUAAAGCUCUCCGAGCGAUUAUAUCGCAUUUAUAGUCCCUCAAAAUCAACAAUAAGAGAGAUCAAAAAACUACUGUAAGUAACUUGAGUUUGCUGCACAAUGCAACUGAAUCAAGGAUAUUUUAUAUAUGAGAAAAACAUGAAAAAAGUAUAAGUUGAUGAAAGAGACAAGGGCAAAAUGGUCAUUUUGACAAAUUCGACAACUAGGCUGUUAAAAUUGACAAUCCAAGAACAUAAAAAAGGCUUUAUCAAAUUGCAGCUUGCAUCACUCUCGAGACUACACUCUAUUUCUUUCUUUUUCACAUGGGAAAGAGAUGCACUAGGACUAAUUUUUUUUAAAUGUUGCAUUAGUCUAUUUCAGAUUCAACCACAACCACCUAAUGGUUGUGGGUGGUGGUAGAGAAACACGUAGGUAGCCUAGGCUGCCGGCCACGACGGUAGGUGGUGCUUAAUUGACGUAAAAAACAAAAAAGAAGGAGAAGAAAAGAACAAGAAUCGAUACCUUAGGCUGGAGAAAAGUUUGUCUUGAGGUCCUCUUCCGUCUUCUCCCUCGACGGUGACUCAAAAAUCCGACAGCCCUACACAAAAACUUGAACAACUCCCUCUCUAGCCACUAAGAUGAACGAACGAAAGAUUAGGGUUAUUUUGGGAUGCUAAGGGUUUGAGAAAUCGGCCCUAACAUAAGAGCCCAAGGGGAUCUCUACAUCAAAAUGAGGCUUUCAUCUCAAGGGUACCUCACGUCAACAUGUGGCUGCCAAUUAAGGUUUUUUUUUGUUUUUUUUUUUUUUUUUUUUUUUUUUUNACUAAAUAUAUGAGAAAUCGGCCCUAACAUAGGAGCCCAAGGGGAUAUCUACAUCAAAAUGAGGCUUUCAUCUCAAGGGUACCUGACGUCAACAUGUGGCUGCCAAUUAGGGUUUUUUUUUCAUGUAGAGGACGUAGUUGGAGGUUUUCUUGCAGAUUAAAGCCCGAGUUGUGUUGGACGAACGGAGAAGGGUUGGAGGUGCUUGAUGUAGGUAAAGAUGAAGGCCCUAGGGUUUCUUUCUAGCUAAUUCAAAGAUUAGCAUCGGUGGAAGAAGGUGGAGGCAUCAGUAGAGGGAACAAGGGAGACUGAGAGAGGAGCAAAUAGGUUUUGGGGAGGGGGGGGGUGUUUAAUUUUUGGGAUGCCAUUUCCCCCUGACUAAAAACGCGCGUUUCAUUAAAAAAAAAAUUAUAAAACAACAUGUUUAGAUGACAAACAUUUUAUAAUAAGUGCCCUCCGUGUUUUUUUUGUGAGACACUGAUUUUAGGGCACGCAAAAAUGCGCGUCCUAAAUUCUUCAACUUUCUAAAGAUCUAACAUUAUUUUUAGGGCACGCCUUUUGUGUAUCACUAAUCGGUGCGUGUCAUAAAAAGCGCAUCAUUAAAGGUCUGUUUUCUAGUAGUGAUUGGUUGUACUAUCACAAGAAAAAGUUUUAUUAGGACAAAACUUACAUCUCGCUUGUGUGAAAACCAUAUUUUUCAGUAUACUUAACAAAUAAUCCCAACCACUUGAUCUUUGUUUCAUUCGCUUUCUUUUUAUUCUAUCUUUCCAUGGUUUAUCUGGACUUCUUGUUGCAUAUCUCUGAUUGAACUUGGUUCUUGAUUCAUUUUGGUUAAUAUAUAUGCAUAAAUAAAUUAAAAAAAACAAAAUUAUGUCAAACGUUAGCUUAUAUAAUCUUACUUACUAAUCAAUGUUCAUAGCACGAAAUUGCAAAACACACGAACAUAAUAUACACGACUGAAUCAAUCGACAACCAAAGGAAGCGCCGAAUUAAUCAAUGAUUCAAAAUUUCAUAUGCUUUUUGGAGUUGUUUUGAUAGACAUAAGGUAAGCGACGUUUGAUUUCCUUUGGCAUUUGAUUUUUUUCCAAUUAAUUGUUAAAAGGUUUACAUUAAGGGGUUUGAUAUUUUAUUGCAUUAUGCAUGAUUUAAAAAAAAUAAGCGAAGUCCAUUAAUUACUAUAUAGUAUUAAAGAUAUAACUUACAAAUAAUAAAUUUAAAGAUUUAUAUUAAAUAUAAAUAAUAUAAAUAAAUAAAUAUCAAAGUUUUAUUCGGGUUUUUUUUGGACUAAUUGGUUUUUUAACAUAUCCAAAACCAAUUUAACAUAUGAAUUUGGUUUUACUCGAAUCAAUCCAAAAUUACAAAUAUACUAACCAAAUAGUCUAAUAAAAAAUAAUUCACUUUUUUAUGAUAGUAGUUAAGUGUCCUAUUUCAAAAUCAAUCAAGCAUACACUUAGGUACGCCAAAUUUAAACUGCAUUAAGACUAACAUUAAAGGACGAAAUACAUAUUCUCCGCUGUACUUGCGCAUCAUUCCCUUUCUAGGAUUCUAUCUCUACCACUUUCCUUGGUGUUAACAAUUGUUGCAUGUGGAAGCUUUCUGUUUGGUACUCGUACACCCACUCACCUUCUGCUUUCUAUUUUUGUUCAAAAACCUCACGUUACGUUUCGUUGUCCUUGUAUGGGUUUUCACCAUUCGCUUGAUACAAAACUGGUAACUGUUUUUGAGCCAUUCUUGCUGAAGCUACAACCCUCAAUAUUUAAUGCAAACUGCAAGUGGUUAUAGCAAAUUGUGAUACAAGAAACCAAAUUUGAAUCUGGUCUAAAGACAUGUUUGUAGAAGCUACAACUUCAGUUGUGAAUUUGUCACCAUGUUUUGCUUUGAAAUCAGGUUAUUACAAGAAUCCAUCCUCCCGAGUUUCAGUUAAGUGCACUAAAACAGCAUCAGAUUCAUCUCUUGAGAAGUCUGCAAAUUUAGUUAAGGGAGUUUCUUUAAAUAAGAGAGUUGGGUCUUUGAAUGAUGUUGAAAGGAGGGAGAUACUUGGUUCAAAUGUUAUUGAUGACAAGAGUAGAUGGAAAGAAGAAAAGCUUGAACCUUUGUGGGAUGAUGGAUAUGGAACUCAGAGUGUGAAAGAUUACCUUGAUUUAGCCAAAGACAUCAUUAAACCUGAUGGCGGACCUCCCAGGUGGUUUUGCCCAGUGGUAGCAGAUGGGAAUGAAUGUCCUUUACCCAAUUCACCCGUUCUUCUGUUUUUG